UUUAUAAGUUACUGGACCAAUAUAAUCGAUUGUCAAAACCAGACAAUCGAUUAUUUUGGUUUGGAUAAAAAAAAUUUUAAGUUUCUGGACCAUUACAAUUGAUUGUUUACAAUAGAUAAUCGAUUGUAUGGUAUAAUUAAAAAACGUUUCAACUCACUGGACCAGGUGUUCCAAAAAACUGCCAGAAUUUUAAACGUCAAAGACAAUCGAUUGUGUAAGGAAACAAU
This 227-nucleotide long non-coding RNA is filed under the name Nicotiana benthamiana. RNAcentral's name for it is "long non-coding RNA (NBEN_LNC000791)". The record is from RNAcentral. Lineage: Eukaryota; Viridiplantae; Streptophyta; Magnoliopsida; Solanales; Solanaceae.